CGGAAGGAUCAUUGUCGAAACCUCUCAAUCAAACCACCCGAGAACCAGUUCUUUCACACAUACAUCUUGCCGGGCCUCGACGGCCUCGUGCCGUCCGGUUCCCAGGCUUGAACAAAAACACGACGCGGGUUGCGUCAAGGAUCAAUCAAUGUU
RNAcentral lists this ribosomal RNA (153 nucleotides) under Plumbago zeylanica. RNAcentral's name for it is "partial 18S ribosomal RNA". Lineage: Eukaryota; Viridiplantae; Streptophyta; Magnoliopsida; Caryophyllales; Plumbaginaceae. The record is from RNAcentral.